CAGUCGCCGCGGUAAAACGAAGGGUGCAAGCGUUACUCGGAAUUACUGGGCGUAAAGCGUGCGUAGGUGGUUGUUUAAGUCUGCUGUGAAAGCCCUGGGCUCAACCUGGGAAUUGCAGUGGAUACUGGGCAACUAGAGUAAGGUAGAGGAUAGUGGAAUUUCCGGUGUAGCAGUGAAAUGCGUAGAGAUCGGAAGGAACAUCUGUGGCGAAGGCGACUAUCUGGGCCAUUACUGACACUGAGGCACGAAAGCGUGGGGAGCAAACAGGAUUAGAUACCCCGGUAGUCCCUGUCUCUUAUAC
RNAcentral lists this ribosomal RNA (301 nucleotides) under uncultured bacterium. RNAcentral's name for it is "partial 16S ribosomal RNA". It matches the Rfam family "Bacterial small subunit ribosomal RNA", at positions 509 to 807 of the family's 1533-position model. The record is from RNAcentral.